UGGCUCUAACCUGUCCUAUCCACCCCUUAAGACCCAGCAGAACAAAGGUGGAGCCUGGACUUGGGCAAGGUGACUAGCUCAGAAAUCAUGCCACCCCCCCCCCCCCCCCCCCCCCCCCCCCGAUGGAGCCUGGGAUAGAGUUGGCCUGGAGGCUUCCAAGGGGGAGAAAUGAAUGAGUGAAGAUUCUUCUUCUGGGUCAGAGAUAUGGCAACAACCUAAGUAUCUGUCAGUUGACGAAUGGAUAAAGAAGAUGUAGAAGACAGGUACAAUGGAAUAUUAUUCAGCCAUGAGGAAGAAGGAAAUUUUGCCAUUUGUGACAACACGGAUGAAACUUGAGGACACUAUGCUAAGUAAUAUGUCAGAGAAAGACAAAUACCAUAUGAUCUCACUUAUGCAUGGAAUUAAAAUAGCCAGACUGGGUGCCUGAGUGGCUCAGUCGGUUAAGCCUCUGA
Molecule: long non-coding RNA, 452 nt
Organism: Herpailurus yagouaroundi (jaguarundi)
Lineage: Eukaryota; Metazoa; Chordata; Mammalia; Carnivora; Felidae
Exons: 2
Source: RefSeq, a predicted model, not a curated record